RNAcentral lists this ribosomal RNA (1489 nucleotides) under metagenome. Its description in RNAcentral is "bacterial LSU rRNA". It matches the Rfam family "Bacterial large subunit ribosomal RNA", at positions 833 to 2291 of the family's 2925-position model. The record is from RNAcentral.
UCAAGCGGGGAGAUAGCUGGUUCUCGCCGAAAUAUAUUGAGGUAUAGCCUCGGGUGAAUUGCCUCGGAGGUAAAGCACUGGAUGGGCUAGGGGACCUACAAGUCUACCAAACCCAACCAAACUCUGAAUGCCGAGGACAACUGCCCGGGAGUCAGGCAGCGGGAGAUAAGUUCCGUUGCCGAGAGGGAAAGAGCCCAGAUCGUCAGCUAAGGUCCCAAAAUCUAGACUAAGUGUAGAAGGAUGUGGGAGCGCUUAGACAACCAGGAGGUUUGCUUAGAAGCAGCAAUCCUUUAAAGAAAGCGUAAUAGCUCACUGGUCAAGCGACCCUGCGCCGAAAAUGUAACGGGGCUAAGUCUAGUACCGAAGCUACGGGAUCUCGCAAGAGAUCGGUAGGCGAGCGUCCUGAAGGAGAUACACGGUAGACGGUGACGACUACUAACGGCCUUCAGGAGUGACUAUGCGGGCAUGAGUAGCGAUAAACCGGGUGAGAAACCCGGUCGCCGUAAGUCCAAGGUUUCCUGGGGAAGGAUAAUCCUCCCAUGGGUUAGUCGAUUCCUAAGUCGAGGCCGAGAGGCGUAGGCGAUGGAAAGUAGGUUAAUAUUCCUACACCACCAAGGACGGCGUUGAUGUAAGCGGGGACGGAGAAGGAUAGCUCAGCAGGCUGCAUGGUUUGCCUGUUCAAGCCCGUAGGCUGAAUUGCUAGGACCCAUUAGGGACAAACGGCGAUUCAUUAAGGCCGAGAGGUGAUGAGGUCUAGCCCUAGGCUAGGACACUGAGUAAUUCCACGCUUCCUAGAAAAGCCGCGUACGGAGCCCCUUUGGUGAUCGUACUGCAAACCGACUCAGGUGGACGGGGUGAAUAUCCCAAGGCGCGUGAGAGAACCCUGGUUAAGGAACUCUGCAAAUUGACACCGUAACUUCGGGAGAAGGUGUGCCGCUGGCGGUUAGUGACUUCGCGUCACGAAGCUGUCGGUGGUCGCAGUGAAAUGGCGGUUGUGACUGUUUACUAAAAACACAGGACUCUGCGAAGUCGUAAGACGACGUAUAGGGUCUGAUGCCUGCCCGGUGCUGGAAGGUUAAGGGGAUAUGUCAGCGCAAGCGAAGCAUUGAACCGAAGCCCCAGUAAACGGCGGCCGUAACGAUAACGGUCCUAAGGUAGCGAAAUUCCUUGUCGGGUAAGUUCCGACCUGCACGAGGGCAUAACAACAUCCGCACUGUCUCGACCAGGGACUCAGCGAAAUUACAUUGGGGGUGAAGAUGCCCUCUACCCGCGGAAAGACGGAAAGACCCCAUGAACCUUUACUGCAACUUGGCAGUGAUUUUCGGGUUGUUCUGCGUAGGAUAGGUGGGAGGCUUUGAAGCCGGGCUUCCGGGUUCGGCAGAGCCAACGUUGAAAUACCACCCUGAAUAAUCUGGAAAUCUAACCUGCGCCCAUGAUCUGGGCGAGGGACACUGCCUGGUGGGCAGUUUGACUGGGGCGGUCGCCUCCC